UUGAUACCGAAAUACGGGGAAAAGUGGUAUCGGUAUCGAAUAUAUCGGUUCGGUACCGUACCGGUACCCGGUACCAAAUGCUCAUCCCUGGUCUAAUGUCAAAGCAAUUAAAGCUACAUGGCUAGGUCAGAAGAGAGAAACAGUCAUCCGGUAGAAAAUCAUGAAAAUCCUAAGAUACAUGUGACCGGAGCAGAACUACAAGCACUGAUAGAUAAUGUUGUUGCAAAAGCUAUGGAGCGACAGUAUAAUGAAUCUAGCGGGACGCAUAGUAGAACCUCUUCAGCACCCCACUCUAAAUCCGUCCCUAAAACUCAUUCAGAAGCUCACAGCAAGCCACCCUCUAAGAAAGAUGAACCCAGAAAGAGGAUGUUCAACAUUCCUCAAACCAACACAGUGUUCCAUCCAAGAGGAUUGUGUUCGAUAAUGAACCACGUACCAAGUCUUGUACCUAUAAGUACUUUGUUUCCUGCAAACCCAGGAUUUCACUGGGGAGAAAGGGGCAAUAGAUUGUAUGACCUGGUUAGAUGAAAUGGACACUGUUGUUGAUAUCAGCGGUUGUGCUGAAAGGGAUAUAGUGAAGAAUGGAUCCCAAUCAUUCAAGGGAGAGGCAUUAGCUUGGUGGAAGUCUCUCAUUCAAGCUGCUGGAAAGAUCACAUUAUACAAUUUGUCAUGGGAUCAGUUCGUUGCUCUCAUUAAAGAGAAUUAUUGCCCGCAGCAUGAG
RNAcentral lists this long non-coding RNA (721 nucleotides) under Helianthus annuus (common sunflower). The record is from RNAcentral. Lineage: Eukaryota; Viridiplantae; Streptophyta; Magnoliopsida; Asterales; Asteraceae.